GCCAGCCUGGUGCAAUGGUUUGCGCAGUGGACUAGGACAUCAAGAGACCAGGGUUCAAAUCCCUGCUCUGCCA
Molecule: non-coding RNA, 73 nt
Organism: Phrynosoma platyrhinos (Desert horned lizard)
Lineage: Eukaryota; Metazoa; Chordata; Lepidosauria; Squamata; Phrynosomatidae
Source: the annotation of a GenBank genome assembly